UACGUAGGGUGCAAGCGUUGUCCGGAAUUAUUGGGCGUAAAGGGCUCGUAGGCGGUUUGUCGCGUCGGGUGUGAAAUCCACUGGCUUAACUGGUGGCUUGCUUUCGAUACGGGCAGACUGGAGGUAUGCAGGGGAGAACGGAAUUCCUGGUGUAGCGGUGAAAUGCGCAGAUAUCAGGAGGAACACCGGUGGCGAAGGCGGUUCUCUGGGCAUGUCCUGACGCUGAGGAGCGAAAGUGUGGGGAGCGAACAGG
RNAcentral lists this ribosomal RNA (253 nucleotides) under uncultured bacterium. RNAcentral's name for it is "partial 16S ribosomal RNA". It matches the Rfam family "Bacterial small subunit ribosomal RNA", at positions 524 to 776 of the family's 1533-position model. The record is from RNAcentral.